This 85-nucleotide transfer RNA is filed under the name Felis catus (domestic cat). It matches the Rfam family "tRNA". Rfam says of the family: Transfer RNA (tRNA) molecules are approximately 80 nucleotides in length. Their secondary structure includes four short double-helical elements and three loops (D, anti-codon, and T loops). The record is from Rfam by way of RNAcentral. Lineage: Eukaryota; Metazoa; Chordata; Mammalia; Carnivora; Felidae.
GCCUGGGUGGCUCAGUCGGUUAAGCGUCCGACUUCAGCUCAGGUCAUGAUCUUGCGGUCCGUGGGUUCGAGCCCCGCGUCAGGCU